RNAcentral lists this small RNA (506 nucleotides) under Oryza sativa Japonica Group (Japanese rice). RNAcentral's name for it is "sRNA Os03g0149050". The record is from RNAcentral. Lineage: Eukaryota; Viridiplantae; Streptophyta; Magnoliopsida; Poales; Poaceae.
CGUGCUCAAUCUGCCACGCCUGCUGCUGCUGCUGCUGAUGCUGGAGGAGAGGGUUCCCAGCCGUCAGCAUGCCGGCCGCCGCCAGCGUCUGCGCCACCUGCGUCUUCGCCUGCGCCACCUGCACCUGCAGCGUCGCCAGCUGCGGCAUCCGUGUGCUAAGUUAGCUCGCCGGCGAGUGAUCGAUCGAUCGCGAGGGGUUUAAGAAUUUGUAAUUACCUGCUGCUGCAGCGCGAAGAUGUGGGCGACGCAGCCGUAGACGGGGUCGCGCAGCCUGGCCUGCGCCUCGUAGGUGACGGUGGCGGCGACCUCGCUCCGGUCGCCCGGCGCCACCUGCUGCAGCAGCUUCGCCGCGUUGCUGGCGCCGAACACCUUGUGUAUCGCCGCGAACUGCGCCGCCCCGUCCUCCGCGCAGAAGUAGGGCGCGAACACGCACUCCGCCGCGCACUUGCGCCGCAGGAACUUGCACGCCCCGCACGGCGACCCCGGCACGCCGCCCACUCCCGACG